CUUUUUAUGACUUUUUUAAGCUUCUACAAUGAACUGUCCCCUACCCAGUUUAUUGUAUAAGCUUAACUAAAAAUAUUUUUUAAAGCUUACAAAUUAUGUCAUAAUUAAUAGGCUUCUAAAAAAUGUGAUUUGGCUUCUAUAAUAAGAUGGGUAACGGGUAGGUUAUUCCAGAUUAUUUUAGAAGCCAGGAAAAAAAAACGGCCCUUACUCCAAGCCGCCGCCGCCCAACCACCCCACCUUACGCCGCGCCACCCAUCGCCUGUGGCCCACGCCGUUCUCCCGUCCACCUUCUCCCUGUGCCUCCCCUUCUCGCAGCACCGCCGGCUGCCAGGAUUUCCAGCCCACCGCAGCCCCAACUUGCCCCGCUGGCCCGCGCGCCACCAUGGCGAGAUGCCCCCAGAUCUGUACCGGCAGAGUCCCUCUUGCCUUCUUCUGCGCCGCCGACCGGCGUGACCACUCGAUCUCCAAGCUCCCACCUCCACCUACCUACUUCCCCGACCCACCCUCAUGGUAGAACCUCCUUCAUCCACGUCGUCGGGAACGAACUCCGCCACCUCCAGGCGCCCCACGUGGCUGCCGGCGUGGAUCUGCCCCGCCGCCCCUUGGCGCCACACGCGGAUGGCGGCCCACCUUGCGCUUCUGCCGGCGCGGGUCUACCCCCACCUCGUUUAGACCCCCACCACACGCGGAUGACUUCCGUCUUGUCGUAUCCCGCAACAACCAGAGACUCUCACAUGCUCCUAUCUUCCUCCUGCGCCAUCCGUGGUACUCGGACACCGCACCAUCCCGUGCAGCUCGGUUGGCGCUCCUGUGCAGCUCCGUUGCCGCUCGUAUGCAGUUUUUUCUUUCAUGUAGUUUUAUUUUGGUUAUCUUUUGCUAUUACUCCCUCCCUCUGUUUCUAAAUAUAUCUCUUUUAGAAGAUUCCAUUAAAAGACCACAUACGAAGUAAAAUAAAUAAAUUUAUAUUUUAAAAUAUGUUUACAUACAUCUGUAUGUAGUCUUUUAAUAGAACUUUUAAAAGACUUAUAUUUAGAAACGGAGGGAGUAGUUUGCAGAAUGAAAAGAACUUCCACGGUGAGCAGUACAUCACCCCAUGUGUGUACUUCUGUUUUUAAUUUCUGAGUGAACUACUCUCUGCAUUGGAGGUUCCCAUGACCAUAUUGCUUUUUUUUUGUGUGUGUGAUGGUUUUCCUGUACAAGGAAGAGACCUACUGAAUAAUACUAUUUGCGAAACAUAGUGCAAGGCAUGCAAGUUCAGUUUCCAUAACGCGGUUGAUGGCAUGUAGUUCUACAGCUCGUAUGUAGUCACCUCAUGUGUGCUGUUUGAGGGCACGUGGAAUUUGUUUUCGAGGGAUAAAUUUGUGUUGUUUUUCAGGCAAAUGCAUGUGAUUUUGAUUUAAAAGCAGUCCACCCAGCACUGUGUUGCGGUUAAUUUUUCUUCACCAUGUGGUCCGCCUUUUCUUCCAUGUAGACAUCCCUCUCCGAGCAGCUCAUUAUCUUUGCGCAUGCAAUAACAAAUAAAAAAUGUGAAAUUAUGCAGUCCACCCGCUGUGUGUGUGGUCCACUCGCCCGGUCUACGCGUGUAAAAAAUUGAAGUCUGAAAAAACAUAAUAAAAAGUCAUGCAGAUCUUUUCAUGUACUAUCG
RNAcentral lists this long non-coding RNA (1645 nucleotides) under Hordeum vulgare. RNAcentral's name for it is "long non-coding RNA (HVUL_LNC009476)". Lineage: Eukaryota; Viridiplantae; Streptophyta; Magnoliopsida; Poales; Poaceae. The record is from RNAcentral.